CAGGUCUUUCAAUAGUACCAGAGAAUCUGAAACAGAAAAUGAACAGCAUGAUCAAAUUUUAAACUCUGCCUGCUUGGAAGCUUUAGUAGUUUGGCAGUAGAGAAUGGCAUCAAGGCAACCCUACAGAAGAAUUAUGUAGGCCACAUUAGAAGACCUCAGGAAAGAAGACCGUCUGUCUGUGGAGAAAAAAUCCAGAAUCAGCUGACUUCAUUGAAGACGAAAGUUAUCUGCAGUAUUCCAGUUUACACUACUUGUGCAAAUGAGAAAUUUUCUUGUAUCAUUGAUCUGGAAAGUCUGUUUUUAAUCCUGAUCUGGGGUGAAAUGGCAGUAAUCCUG
RNAcentral lists this long non-coding RNA (336 nucleotides) under Apteryx rowi (Okarito brown kiwi). Its description in RNAcentral is "lncRNA (ENSARWG00000004847.1)". The record is from RNAcentral. Lineage: Eukaryota; Metazoa; Chordata; Aves; Apterygiformes; Apterygidae.